GCUCGUAAGGAGCCGCCGGAGGAGGCUCGCGGCCCCUUUUCUCCAGCCUGUCCCGUGAAGGCCGGACCAGCCACACCCAGGGCAUAGAGACGCUAUUAUUUUGUCUCCUGGAAAUGAAUCACCCUCGGCCAGCUUGGCUCUGAAUCCCGUCCGCUCGCCGGGGUUUCCUUGCAGAGAGGAAGGCGAGAGGACAGCUGAGCGGGGAAGCGGCACCAUGGCUGGGAUUGCCGCUAAAUUAGCAAAGGACAGGCAGAUCGCGCAAGGGCUCGGCUCCAACUCCAAAGCCGUGAAAUACUUGAACCAGGACUUUCACACUCUGAGGAACGAGUGUCUCGAGGCGGGCAAGCUCUUUCAAGACCCCUGUUUCCCCGCCGCGGCGGGUUCUCUGGGCUAUAAAGAACUAGGGCCAAACUCGUACAAAACAAAAGGCAUCGUCUGGAAGAGGCCGACGGAAUUGUGUUCCAAACCUCAUUUUAUUAUUGGAGGUGCCACCCGGACUGAUAUCUGCCAAGGGGCUUUAGGAGACUGUUGGCUUCUAGCAGCAAUUGCUUCUCUCACCUUGAAUGAAGAAAUUUUGGCUCGGGUGGUUCCCAGUAAUCAAAGUUUCCAAGACAAAUAUGCAGGAAUCUUCCACUUCCAGUUCUGGCAGUAUGGAGAGUGGACAGAUGUUGUUGUUGAUGAUCGAUUGCCGACCAAAAAUGGAGAACUACUUUUUGUUCACUCAGCAGAGAGAAAUGAAUUCUGGAGUGCUCUACUGGAGAAAGCCUAUGCCAAGGUGAAUGGUUCCUAUGAAGGUCUUUCAGGGGGAAGCACUACUGAGGGCUUUGAAGACUUCACUGGUGGAAUUGCAGAGUGGUAUGAGUUGCAGAAAGCACCACCAAACCUGUUCAAAAUAAUCCAGAAAGCUCUUCAGAAAGGUUCUCUCCUUGGGUGUUCUAUUGAUAUCACAAAUGCUGCCGAAACUGAGGCAGUUACAACCCAGAAGCUGGUGAAAGGGCAUGCGUACUCUGUCACAGGAGCUGAAGAGGUGAAUUUCCGAGGCAGCAUGCAGAAACUGAUCCGGAUCCGAAAUCCCUGGGGAGAAGUUGAAUGGACCGGAAAAUGGAAUGAUAAGUGUCCAAACUGGAAUGGUAUUGAUCCAAAAGUGAGAGAGAGACUGACCAGGCAGCAUGAAGAUGGAGAGUUUUGGAUGUCAUUGAGUGAUUUCCUGAGGCAUUACUCUCGUCUUGAGAUCUGUAAUUUGACUCCAGACACUCUAACUACUGACAUGUAUAAAAAAUGGAGGUUGAACUUGAUGGAUGGAAACUGGAGAAAAGGUUCCACGGCUGGUGGAUGCCGAAAUUAUCCUGAUACGUUUUGGAUGAACCCACAAUAUUUGAUUAAACUUAAGGAAGAAGAUGAGGAUCCAGAUGACCCAGAAAGAGGUUGUACCUUCUUGGUUGGUUUGAUUCAGAAACACCGUCGGAAGCAGAGGAAGAUGGGAGAGGAUAUGCACACAAUUGGCUUUGCAAUCUAUGAGGUGCCUGAACAGUCUUCUGGCCCAAAAAAGGUCCACCUGAGCAAAAACUACUUUCUCACAAACCGAGCAAGGGAACGAUCCAACACAUUCAUCAAUCUUCGGGAGGUGUUAAAUCGAUUCAAGCUUCCCCCAGGAGAAUAUAUUAUUGUGCCAUCCACCUUUGAACCCAACAAGAAUGGGGACUUCUGCCUCAGGGUUUUCUCUGAAAAAAAAGCUGACUCACAAGUUAUUGAUGAUGAAAUUGAGGCCAAUAUUGAAGAGAAAGAACUCACUGAAGAUGAAAUUGAACCCAAUUUUAAGAAAUUAUUUAAGCAAUUAGCUGGAGAGGAUGCUGAGAUCUCAGCCUUUGAACUGUGUAAUAUUCUGAAAAAAAUCUUAGCAAAACGUCAAGAUAUUAAAUCUGAUGGCUUUAGUAUGGAAACUUGCAAAAUUAUGGUUGAUUUAUUAGAUGUAUCCUUCAGUUGUAUAUUUUCUGUUUAAGGCUCUAGUAGGGAAAAGUGGGGGCAGCAGAAUUAUGGAUGGUCAUUAAAACAGAAUGAGGAAGAUGAACUUGAUGUAUGCUGCAACUCAUCCCUUGGAUAAAUGGACGGAAACAUGCUGAUCGUAGUUUCUUUAUUUUACCAGAUAGUGUUUGUCUGAGAAAGGCAUACCCAGUAGGAGAUAUUCCAUGUUGAACUGCCAAGAUUCAGUUCAGAUUGUGGUGGGAUGUAAAUGUAAUAAAUAUUUAAAUUGAAUGGUGACAUAUCUAUAGCUAGCAUGUGCAUUAAAAAUAUGUUUGAUAGCAACGAUAGAAGAUCUUAGGCUACCAAAUUAUCCAAAUGAUAGUGCUAAGCUAUAUGUAACAUGAGUAUGAUCCUAAUUCCUUCUUUGUAUAUUCAUAAACAAAGAAGGAUGCAGCUAGUUAUUAUACCUCUGCCUUUAUUCACAUGUGCAAAGAAUAUUUUUGCCUAUACCACAUAUAAAGCUUAAAUCAGGCAAACCCUACCUGAGCUGAAAAAUUGUCAUUAGUUGGCAGUAACAAAAUAUAGAAAAUGGUAACAUGCCACCAUCUGCUAGUGGACUGGACUUUAGAAGCCCAAAUUUGGCAUGCCUAAUAACAUCAAAGUUCUUUCUGGAGUUCCAUUGUAUUGUUCUCCCACACAACCCAUCCUGCAGAGUUUCUGUGCUAUAGUUCUACCUCAGCUACCCAAGAUCUUCUGCCUCUAAUGCAGAAUGUCACUUGCUUCAUGACAUGUUUGGAACAUCUUCCUGAAACAAAUGUAUAAGCCUUCUUAACUCCCAGGCUUAUAUAUCAAGUUAGGAAAAGCUGACUUAAUUUUUCUUUUCCAAGCAUAAAUUCAUAUGGCUCCUUUUUUUUUGCAUUCUUACUCUACUAUAAUUGUCUUUUCCCCUCCUCGUCCUUCUCCAAUAUCAAAUGUUUGAUUAAUGUUCCUUGAAGAAGGAUUUUUUUUAACCAUUGACAUUUUGUAACUGAGUAUGAAUAUAUAUGGUAUUAGAUAAACAUGCAAUGAAACAAUAAUAUAAGAUAAAACAGAUCAACUACUACAUUAUAUAGGUAGUUUAUGACUUACAACUGAUUGCUUAACAAUUGUUUGAAGUUACAAUGGAUCUGUCCAGAGCUACUUAGAAAACUCUGUUUUCAGACUUAUAACAUUUGCCCCCCCCCCCCCAGCCAUACAAUUGCAUUUUGGGCCCUUGGCAGUUAGGUCCCCAGCAAACGUCCGUUUGUAGCGUCUUGUAGUAAUAUGACUGUAAUUUUCAAUUUUUGCUGGUUUCUAGGCAUUUACUUAUAGUUUCUGGUAAAAAAAUACUAGUUGGAGAAAAUGGAUUUGCUUAAUGACCACCGUAAAAAAAUAAUUGUAACUUCGAAUCUGAUGUCUUGAUGCAAAAAUAAAAAUACAAAAAUACCAAUGCAUAAAUACAAAGAACACCCCAACUAUUGGUGCACAUUUGAUACAUCCAUAUCCACUUUGUACCCUCUACUCCUACCUCCUCCAAAGAUGCCCACCCCUGAAAUAUAGGAAGUAACAAAAUGGUUACAUAUAAAGAACAGGUGUCUAUCACAUGCCUAAGAAUAGGUUUCUUUCUACAAAAGUAGCAAGUGUUUAGUAGAAGGUAGUAAAUUAGUAGGAACUAAGAUUCUACCCUGUAGACUGAUGUGGGAGAAAUGUAGCCAAAGAAAACUCCGAACAGUGAAAGAAAUUUGGAUUAUUUUUUUCUGUUUAAAUUGGAAGUUUCUUUAACCAAGCAGACUGAUGGAAGUGGUAAGCUAGGGCUGAAAGAAUUCCACAUACUUUGGACAAAGAUUCAGAAAUACCAGCAAAUUUAUCGGGAUAUGGAUGUAGAUCGUUCUGGCACCAUGAACUCCUAUGAGAUGCGGAAAGCCUUG
RNA transcript from Crotalus tigris (Tiger rattlesnake), 3908 nucleotides. It is a transcript of the gene named calpain 2, with no coding region annotated. NCBI's taxonomy places the organism in Eukaryota, Metazoa, Chordata, Lepidosauria, Squamata, Viperidae. The transcript has 18 exons. The record is from RefSeq and is a predicted model, not a curated record.